UCAGGAUGAACGCUGGCGGCGUGCAUAACACAUCAAGUCGAACGGGACAUUCCGAGUAGCAAUAUGAGGGGUGUUAGUGGCGGACGGGUGAGUAACGCGUGAGUAACCUGCCUGUGUGAGGGGGACAACAGAUCGAAAGGCCUGCUAAUACCGCAUGACGUAUGGAGAUCGCAUGGUUUUCAUACCAAAGAUUUAUCGCACACAGAUGGACUCGCGUUGGAUUAGAUAGUUGGCGGGGCAACGGCCCACCAAGUCUGCGAUCCAUAGCCGGACUGAGAGGUUGAACGGCCACAUUGGAACUGAGAAACGGUCCAGACUCCUACGGGAGGCAGCAGUGGGGAAUAUUGGGCAAUGGGCGCAAGCCUGACCCAAGCGACGCCGCGUGAGGGAAGAAGGUCUUCGGAUUGUAAACCUCUUUCAGCAGGGAAGAAGCAAGUGACGGUACCUGCAGAAGAAGCCACGGCUAACUACGUGCCAGCCGCCGC
This 485-nucleotide ribosomal RNA is filed under the name uncultured bacterium. RNAcentral's name for it is "bacterial SSU rRNA". It matches the Rfam family "Bacterial small subunit ribosomal RNA", at positions 24 to 518 of the family's 1533-position model. The record is from RNAcentral.